GAAUACCACGUUCAAAAAAUUUGGAAUCCAGGGAACAAGGAACAUUUCCAAAUGAGGAGUCAGCGUCAAAGGGUAACUUAUGUAUUUUUAAAAGUUAAAUGGCGCUAAAAGGAUGUCCUAUAAUGGUAAACCUAAAAAGAGGGACUAAGAGUUACACUUUUAGUCAACGGGGACUUUUUUGUUAGAAUGGCAUCAAAGAGGGGA
Molecule: long non-coding RNA, 204 nt
Filed under: Elaeis guineensis (African oil palm)
Lineage: Eukaryota; Viridiplantae; Streptophyta; Magnoliopsida; Arecales; Arecaceae
Description: long non-coding RNA (EGUI_LNC056617)
Source: RNAcentral